AUAUCGCGUCCGGUGCUUUAGGAUGCGACCGCGAUCAAAAGUAAGCUAUGAAAACGGAUUAUAGAAAGAGCAACAAAAAAAAAAAAAAAAAAACGGCGCUGAAAAGACAAUUAAAAAAGAAAGCUCUAGAAAGUAAAGUGUCCAUGCAGAUGUGCUAAACUGAGCAACGUUUUCAUUAAAACCAGCGAGAGUGAAACGCCAAAUGAAGACGAUGAGAUGGCUUGUCUUUGAGCGGUGCCUGGUUGCCAUGGCUACUAAAAUGGGGCCUGUAGAGAGGAGUCCAGUCGCCGAGGUCGUACGAGCCUGAUUCACUGUCGCUGUCCUCGGCGGGGUCCUUCGGCUCGCCGUCAGCGCUGCAGGAGUCCUCCUCGUCCCACUGCUCGUGUGCUGGAGCUGCGUCGUUCUGAAUACAAGCAGGACACAAUGUGACGCAGUUCUUUGUGUUUACGUUUGUGUCUACCUGUUGUUCGUGAGGCUCUGGAGGAGUUUGGAGGACCUGAACUCGUCCACCUCUCCGAUCACACGGACGCUCACAUCGCCGUCCCGACCCAGCAGCCACUUCACAUGCUUGUUGUCAGCUGGGGGGAGGAGGGGGGAAUUGAAAAGACAAGAAAAAAACGAAAUGGCGGCGUACCUGCUCCUCUCUCAUCUUCAGGAAGAGGAUCCUCUUCUGGUCCUCACUGAGGGCCUCCAGCACCUCGGGCUCUACCCACAUGUCCUCAAGGAUCUUAGCCAGCAUCCUGCCUCUUUUCCCCCGGGUGUCAGAGUCAGCCUUCAGCCCUUCUGUCUCUCCUUCUUCCAGUGGGUCGUGUUUCAGCGGUGGGGUAUGAUCGCUCCUUUUUCCUCUUCCAGAGUCAGGUUCCCUUUUCUUUGAAGGAUGGGGGAUCGGGUGGUUUAACUGCUGCAGGUCACUGUAGUGUCCUUUGUCAAGUGCUCUUCCUCUGCUGUAGGAGUGUGUCGGCCUCUUUCACACUGGCACAGUGUGUCCGGAUCAACUGAAGGUUGCUGUUGUGGAGAGAGAGCGAGAGAGCGAGAGAGAGAGAGAUUAUAUCUACUGUAUUGUUUAGUUCCCCUCCAUUCAAGGCAGAACACAAUAGUCCUGAAGCAAAUAAGCCACAAUAAUAAACUGUGUGUGUGUGUGUAUGUGUGUGCGUGCAGUGUUUACUCUGCAUACAGCGAGAAUGCCGCUGUGCUUUCAAAUACUAAAAGGCAAAUAGGGGCAGGUUUAGUACGUCAACACACACACACACACACACACACAAACACAAACAGGGUGUUAAUGAUUGCAUGCUAUCUGGGGGUAACAGACAUAGAUAGAAAGCAAAAGACAGCUACAGUUCACUCAAAUUAUUGCAUUAACAGCAGCUCACCCACGCACACACACACACACACACACACACACACACACACACACACACACUCCGAUUGUUUUUUGCACCUUAUCAGCACACGUGACACAGAUAGACAUCAGUUAGUAAUAACUCCAUCAGGAAGUCCUAAGAGUAAAAUCCCAGAGAAUCUCCACCUUGAACUGUGUGGACAUAGUUUAAAAGCAGUCCCCGCCCUGUACAUACUUUUGAAAGUUGUGAAACAGUGAGUUGCUGAGCAAGAGCCAAUAGGAUUUGUGUCUGUGAUAACAGUUGACCAAUCUGCACUUAAGGGCAGUCUGAUAUUAGGGUAACUCAGAAGAAGCUGGCAAAUAUGAAAUAUCACCCUUUCAGUUAGUGUUUGAGGCGUGGCAAAUGUUGAACCAUAGAAAUAUACUAACCCUCACACUAGACUUGAAGAAUUCUAUGGUUUGAGUCUAAACUGAGCAGUAAAACAAUCAUGUUUUGCCUCUAACAAGCUGAUACAGGACUGAAUGCAAAACUGUGACUAAAAACAACACCAAUUUUACAUAGCUGGAAAAUUCCUAAAUAGAGUGAAGCCUAAAAAACAAUAACUUUAAAAGAGAUAAAGAACAUGGCUGCUUUACUUACAAUGACUUAUGUUGUGAUAUAAAAAGAGCAGCAGCUCAUAAAUCUAUGUACCAUGUUUACGUAGUAAAACUUAAGCUUAACAUAUAUGAAGCUAUAUAUAUAUAUAUAUAUAUAGCUUCAUUGCAUUACAGCUUCAUUGCAUUAUUAGUCUACUGUGGAACCAGCAUCCAUUCAUUCAUCAACUCUGUGCAGCACUUCUCAAGUCUCUUUCAGUUGUUUUUCAGAGUGAGGUUUUUGUGAUCCAUGUUCUUGUUCGUUUUCUAUGGGGUGUGUUUUCUUUUAUUCUUUCACAAUGGAGAAGUUGUGAAGCCCUUUAGGACUAUGUAAUUGAGAGCAAUCGUAGACUGUAAAAAAGAAUCGACGGAGCUUCCGGGCCUUUAACCUCCAUUCUAUCUCAUUUCCAGCAGGGGGCGACUCCACUGGUUGCAAAAAGAAGUCGGCUUGCAAGGAAGUCUAUGAGGAAAAAAACCCUACUUUCACUUGAUUUAUUUCCCCAAUAAACAUUUUCAUAAUCA
Molecule: long non-coding RNA, 2494 nt
Organism: Perca flavescens (yellow perch)
Lineage: Eukaryota; Metazoa; Chordata; Actinopteri; Perciformes; Percidae
Exons: 4
Source: RefSeq, a predicted model, not a curated record